Molecule: long non-coding RNA, 2294 nt
Filed under: Triticum aestivum (bread wheat)
Lineage: Eukaryota; Viridiplantae; Streptophyta; Magnoliopsida; Poales; Poaceae
Description: long non-coding RNA (TAES_LNC022667)
Source: RNAcentral
GGUUCUUUUCAUUGUGGAAGUUAUUCUGCUAUUCAGAUAGGUCCUAUCAGUGCUUGAUAAUGUACAAUUAGCUGUGCCGAUGUCUCUAACCUACUAGCACUCUACAGAGUGUAGUCUUAGGUAUUGCCUGUGCCAAUGCAAUUUUAUCGAAAAUGCUCAAUGACGACUUUCUCUGAUUUGCAGACAAGAUACAAAAGGUUUAGUAAAGGAGGACUCAAGUCUGCAACCACCAUAGAGAUAUGGCCAUGGAAGUAUGGAACAAUAGUGUGUGGAUGUUCUGUGCAAUUUUUCUCUCAUCGAGGUAUGCCUCCGUUUCACUGGGCCAGGCUCGACUUGCCAACUACAUACUCCUUCCAUAAAGAAAUAUAACAUCGUUUAGAUCACUAAAGUAGUGAUCUUUAGUGAUCUAAAGGCUCUUAUAUUUAUUUACAGAGGAAUUAUUUGUUUUCUUUGCUGCAAAGUAUUUUGAGAUGCGUAUGUUGAGAUGGAUGUGUGGCCACACGAGGAAGGAUAGAGUCCAGAAUGAUGAUAUACGAGAUAGAGUUGGGGUAGCACCGACUGAAAAGAAGCUUGUCCAACAUCGUCUGAGAUGGUUUGGGCAUAUUCAACGCAAGCCUCCAGAAGCCCCAGUGCAUAGCGGACGGCUAAAGCGUGCGGAGAAUGUCAAGAGAGGUCGGGGUAGACCGAAUUUGACAUGGGAGGAAUCCGUUAAGAGAGAUCUGAAGGAUUGGAGUAUCACCAAAGAACUAGCUAUGGACAGGGGUGCGUGGAAGCUUGCUAUCCAUGUGCCAGAGCCAUGAGUUGAUCGCGAGGCCUACCCCAACUUGUUUGGGAUUAAAGGCUUUGUUGUUGUUGUUUGCUGCAAAGUAUUUUGAGAUUAUAGUGUGUUGAGCAUGCAAUCCCGAUUCCAGGAAAAAAAUAUUAUGUAGUCCAUCGCACAUGCUCGGUUUCAGAGUAAAUCCAAAGCCAUUUGCUGCCUCUUGAAUUUUUGGUUCUACCUAAUGCACAAAAUCUCUCAUGGUUCUAUUUCUACCUGAUGUAGAAAAGCGACUAUUAUCUGUUGAUUGGCUUAUUGAUGUUUGGUACUGGUCAUAUUAGUUCCCUAGGGCCGUAAAAAACUACAUUUCUACUCUAUGAUUAUGUCUCAAAGAUGUUUUCUAGCUUGCAAGUUUGAUUUCUUUGUCUUCCACAUGGUCGGUUUAGUUUCUCACCUUGCUUAAAAAUUCAGGUUGAAAUGUUGCCAGUCCAGCCUAUGCUGAUGCUAUAAUGGGAUCAUGACAGAAAAUUAUUUAUUUUGUUAUAUACCUGCAGCUCACUUUGUUAAUUUCCACAACAGCAUUUUAUAUUUACAUUUAAAUUGUACUCCCUCUGUUCUUGAAAAGAAGGCAUAUCAAUUUUGGUCAAAGUCAAAUAAUGUAAAGUUUGACCAAGUUAAUCCAACAAACUUAUACAUUUUCUUUCCAGGGAGUACCUACUUAGUUUGAUUAUUGCAUCUACUUCUACUUCUACUUCAUUUCUGUACUCACAUUUAAAUUAGGCACCUACUUUAUUUCUACUACUUUUUUCCUGCACCUACAGUAUCAGUGUUGUAUCUGCUCGAUCAUGGAGCUAUGACUCUGUUACAUUGGGCUAAAGAUUGAUUGCUUGCACGGGUAUGUCAAGGUGUAGGUGCAGACUCAUUGCUGGUGUUGAAUACUGGAGCAAGAAUGAUGAUCAAUGCUCUAAUGAACCUGCAUGAUGUAGCAUUACUAUUGGGAUAUAUGGGUUAGGCACAUACUCUUUUUUGACAGUAGGUUAGACAAGUGUUUUUUUUUUUAGUUUUUCUCUGUCGAUUUCUCUUUUACUGUAAAGCAAAGGCUGAUUGUUAGUCUUUGUUGAGUCAAGAGAUUUUUUUACUUGGAAGAUCGCAACAUUGCCGAUAGAAGAAUGAGUUUUAUAGCAAAUCAGGUUUUGACUUCUAUACUAAUGGUUACAUCACCAUGAUGGUUGGAAUAUAAUUAAGACUUUGUUCGCACUUAAUACUGGAUGAUGAGAUCAUCUAUGAUAGUGAUGGGCGGUGCACUGUGAUUGUGAGUAUCAUAGAUCGCAUUAACACAUGCGUUUUUCCGCCAUGCUCACUAUCCAGUUAUGCCACACCCAAUUACUAUCAGCAGGGUAUAUUAACUAUAUGUAAUUGGUCGGCUAUACGACAGCAGUGUACCACUGUCCUGUGUUGGUGCUUAUCCAAUCAAACAUAGUUAUGUACUAAGUUCUUAUAUUAUGGGAUGAAGGGAGUAACUAACAUUACGUAACCA